CCGGUUGAUCCUGCCGGACCUGACUGCUAUCGGAUUGAUACUAAGCCAUGCGAGUCUUUGUAGCAAUACAAGGCAGACGGCUCAGUAACACGUAGUCAAUCUACCCUAUAGACGGGGAUAACCUCGGGAAACUGAGAAUAAUACCCGAUAGGCCAUUAUACCUGGAAUGGUUUAUGGCUCAAAUGAUUUUUCGCUGUAGGAUGGGACUGCGGUCUAUCAGCUUGUUGGUGAGGUAAUGGCCCACCAAGGCUAUAACAGAUACGGGCUCUGAGGGGAGAAGCCCGGAGAUGGGUACUGAGACACGGACCCAGGCCCUAUGGGGCGCAGCAGGCGAGAAAACUUUGCAAUGUGCGAAAGCACGACAAGGUUAAUCCGAGUGUUUUCUGCUAAAGAAAUCUUUUGUCAGUCCUAAAAACACUGAUGAAUAAGGGGUGGGCAAGUUCUGGUGUCAGCCGCCGCGGUAAAACCAGCACCUCAAGUGGUCAGGAGGAUUAUUGGGCCUAAAGCAUCCGUAGCCUGCUUUGUAAGUUU
RNAcentral lists this ribosomal RNA (531 nucleotides) under uncultured archaeon. RNAcentral describes it as "bacterial SSU rRNA". It matches the Rfam family "Archaeal small subunit ribosomal RNA", at positions 4 to 540 of the family's 1478-position model. The record is from RNAcentral.